This is a long non-coding RNA of Pan troglodytes (chimpanzee), 1947 nucleotides long. RefSeq lists it as uncharacterized. The transcript has 4 exons. The record is from RefSeq and is a predicted model, not a curated record. Lineage: Eukaryota; Metazoa; Chordata; Mammalia; Primates; Hominidae.
AUUCUCUCUUUCCUGCUGCCAUGUAAGACAUGUCUUGCUUUCCCUUUGCCUUCUGCCAUGAUUUUAAGUUUCCUGAGGCCUCCCCAGCCACGCUGAACUCUCUACAUGGUGAAUUGGUACCUGACCUUCUUUCAUAAGACGGAAAACUGGGGCAUGGAACUUGUCAGUGAAGCUCAGCAUGCUACAAGAGCAUCUUGGUUUGUCCUAGUUGAGGACUGGAAAAUCUCAAUCUCUAGUCAACAAAUGAAAUUUGCUGCAGUUUCUUAUUCGCUGAGGCUCUGCAUUUCUGUUCUCUCCCGUUAUGGAUUUAUUUCUCUUUGUAUUUGAAAAACACAAGACACUAUUGGCAAUAAAUGGUAGUACUAUGUCUUGCAAAACAGCUGAACUGCACCAAACCCAUGACAGCUCCUAGACCUCCAGCUUUCCAUCUGGUGAGAUUCACUCUGAGCUGGGAGCUCCCGCUGACUUGACUGCAAAAGAAAGAAGCAUCACCAAUGGAGAUUAAUCCUCCCAUCAGCCUUGAGAGAAAGGGCUGCAGGCCCGUGUGGAUUUGCUCAGCACGCCACUGACUUUAUUAAACAACCUACCGGACAAAGGGAAACAAAGUCUCUCCCUCUUUCCAAAGAGCACUGUGCCAAAAAUGUGUAUUAGAUGGUCAAAGGCCACAGGGUCAGGUCCAAAUGCAGCUUUUCUAGAUACAAUGAAGCACUUUCCCAUGUUGCAGCUCAAUCAAACAUAGUUUUUGUAAGCCAGGGAAAUUCAGAAGGAGGCUUGCGGUAAUUUAGCAAUCGUUUUUCUUAUUUUCUGUAGUUAAUUUAGGAGGAGGUCACUUGUUUGCUUAACGAAUAUUGAAUUCCGUGCCAGAGAGGGAGCGAGGGCCUGGGAGCAGAGAGGUAGGAAUGUGCCGCACAGUCUCUGCCCCAGGGAGUGCACGGGGUGGAGAGAUGGGGUGUGGAGGCGACAAUCAAGUAAAUCCACAGUUCCAGCAUGUCAGCAGGAGCCUGGGUCUCGAAUCGCACGCAGCGGGCUUGGAGUUGAUAAGAUGUGCCUAGUCAGCCUAGGGAGGAAUCAACCAGACUUCACAGAGGAGGUCAGCCUUUGAGGAGUCAUUCACUUAUUUGCAAUUUAUGGAUCCAUUUAAUAAAUAUUAUGGAAUGUUAAUUUCAUUUUAUGCUAGGUGUCAUGGGCUGAGUGCUGGCCACCCCACAUCACCAGAGUCUGUGUCUGUGUCCUAGUCUUCGGAGCCCAUGAAUGUUAUCUUCUAUGGCAAUAGACGUGAUGAAGGGAAAGCCUUUGAGAACAGGCCUUUGUUCUGGAUUAUCUGGAUGGGCCCUAAAUAGAAUCACAGGUAUUCUCAUAAGAGAGGCAGAGGUAGUUUUAGACAGACACACACAGAGAAGGCAAUGUGAAGAUGGAAAUAGGAGUGAUGGGAUGACAAGCUGAAGAAUGCCAAGGAAUGCUGGAGGUCACCACAAACUAGGGGACAGGCAUGGGACAUGGGACAGAUUCUACCCACCCUACACCCCAGUCUGGGGAGGGAGUGCGUCCUGCUGACACCUUGUUUCGAAACAUCUUGGCCCUCCCUCAGGGAGCUAAGGUCUAGCGCAGGUGGCACACUGGGGGUGAUGAGCGCCCAGGCCCUGUGGAGGCCACGGGUGACCUUGGUAAGCACAGCUACAAGGAAAUGUGAGGCAGAAGCCAGAGGGCAGGGAAGGGGCAAGCAAACUGUGUCCGUGGCAAUGAAGGACCAUUUUGGAACACCUGUCUGUCCCAAUAUGUUUUACUGAGGUCAAUGCAACAAACUCCUUUUUAAAAAAUAAUGUUGAUAUUAUUUUCUGAUUAUAAAAGAAUAUAUAUAUAUACAUUGAAGAAAAUUGGAAAAAUACAGGAAGAUAGAACAGAAAUAAAAACUGCCCAUGCUCUCACUAUGCAGAGAUAAUCCUUAUG